RNAcentral lists this ribosomal RNA (129 nucleotides) under Enterococcus hirae. Its description in RNAcentral is "partial 23S ribosomal RNA". It matches the Rfam family "Eukaryotic large subunit ribosomal RNA", at positions 2238 to 2366 of the family's 3401-position model. The record is from RNAcentral. Lineage: Bacteria; Bacillati; Bacillota; Bacilli; Lactobacillales; Enterococcaceae.
AAGCGCGGGUAAACGGCGGGAGUAACUAUGAUUCUCUUAAGGUAGUCAAAUGUUUCGUUAUCUAAUUAGUGACGCGUAUGAAUGGAUUAACGAGAUUUUCACUGUUUCUGUCUAUUAUUCAGCGAAAUU